CCACCUCGCUAUGGCCCCCGGCACGUGAUGUCUGUGGUGUCCCCGCCGCGCAGGGAUUGGCGGGGCAGAAGAGGCAGCCGGAACCCUUGUCUCCCGCCCGCGCUCCGCACCCGGACUCCUUAGAGCAGAGCACGCAGCUGCGGAGCGGAAGCUCUGCGCGCCGAGUUGUCCGGCCACUUCCACUUCUCUUCCGCCCCGCCUCGUAGCCACUUCCGGUGCGCGCGGGUCGGGCCCGGCGGAGCCCCCCGGAGACGCGCGGCGGACAGUUUUCAUGGCAUCAACCUCACAGCAGCGGCUCCAGCGCCGCCUCCACCGGUGGGCACGGCGUGGCCGGACAGCGGCACUGCGGGCAUUGCUGCGCCGCCAUCAGAGGCUGCUGGAGCUGGAUAGGCCACGGGGCCGGCACCGCCACACCCCCCUACACCGCGCUGUGGCUGCUGGCGCCGCCUCAGCUGCCCGCCUCCUGCUGCGCCGCGGCGCCAACCCCGCCUGCAUCGACACCCAUGGUGACACCGCCCUGCACCUGGCUGCCCGCGCCGGCCACCGUGUGUUCCAGACGCUGUUCCUGCCCAUUGUGCGCUGCUGCCCUCAGGUCAUGAGGAUCCGUAACCAGGCAGGGCAGAUCCCCACCGAUCUCCUGGAUCCCGUGCUGCAGGAGGAGCACCCCAUGGAGCAGGAGGAGGAGGACAACGCUGACUCCUGGCAUCAGAAGCUGCUGGGGGAGUGUGAAGCUGAGGCCUGGGAGGCCGGUGGCUAUGAGGAGGAUUUCAACAGGGAACAGUCAGAUUACGAGACCUAUGACGCGUGGGCAGAGCGAAUUGCCCGCGAGUACACCCGGAAGCGAGGCCAAGGGGCAGGGCUUAACCAUGGGAAGCUGGAGGACAGCAGUCAAGGGGCAGGGCCUAGCCGGGGAAAGGCGGAGCCUGAGCCCCUCCGGCGCCCCAUGGAGGUGGAAGCCGACCUGUACCGGGCCCGGGAGGCUGCCAAGGCCCGGGAGCUGCAGGAGGCUAAGAGGAGGCGCUGCGAGGAGGCCUUCACCCCAGGUGCCACCAGCCUUCUAACCUAUCAUGACAUCCCUUGGCCCUGCCCAGGGGCCAGCCCUGAGGCUAUGGCGGCAGCGGCCAUGAUGGGAGCGGACCCAGGCAACCGAGCCAACUUCCGACGCCAGCUGCGACGCCAACAGGCCCUGUGGCACCCUGACAAGUUCACUCAGCGUUGUGGGGAGCGCCUGGCCCAGCCUGACCGACGCCGGGUGCUGGAUGCUGUCAUGGCCUUGUCUCAGGCCCUCAACCGCCUGGCCGAGAGCGUCAAGUGAGGCGGCUGGCUCUGGGCCGCGUGUAAUGGGGACAGGAGCUACGGAUGGCUCUGGAGAGCGUCAGGUUUAGCCUGGACUGCAGGGAUACUAGGGGUCUCCAUGAUGAACAAGGAGCAAUGGACUGAGACUGCAGCAGGGGAAACUGAGGCCAGAGAUGAGGAGACUCUUCAUCCUCAGAUAUUUCCAAGAACGAGGUAGGCUGACGAUUCUCAACCAGGGCAUCAGGGAGCUGUCAGACCCUCAUGAGCGUGUAGGGCCAUAUUAUCGCUGCGAAUAACUGGGAUUUUCCCAAGGGAGUCCCAGGGUCUAAUGAGGAGUGUGGAUAGGCCUACAAAGGUUGAGAGCCCCUGGGUCAUGCAAACACGUGUCUGGGCUGGUUCAGAAGGGGCUAGCCAUGCCUUCAGUUACAGGUUGGACCAGAUGCGACCUCCCGUGGUCCUGGCCAGCCCAGCCCCCACCUUUAUAGGCACUUCUAGCUCUACCUUGAAGCCAUGUAGAGCUCUCGAUCCCAGACUGCACUGGGAAGACUCCCGGGCAUUCCCGAGCUAGGACAUCCAACCUAUGUGUCUCUGGUUGACAUUGACUUGACCUUUGCUCCUCAGCCCACCAUGCCUGUCCCCCUUGUCCUCCUGGUGCCUCCAUCGGUAGAUGACAACCUUCUUCCCUCCUCCAUCUCUAUCUUAAUGAGCCCUGGGACUUCCUCACACAGGAUUGGGUCUCCAGGCCUGGCCCCAUCCACACAGCCUUGCUGGCUGCCAUCCUAGCACCUCUACAAUAAGAGAUAAAAGCCGCCUGUGGUAGGAGGUGUUACCAGCACCUGGGUCACUGGGACGAUUCUCUCAGCUGCACAGACGUCACCACCCAAGAGAGGAAGACCCAGGAGUUGUGGGUUUUCGGGGACGGUCAGGGUGAAUCAACGUUGAGGGGGUGGAUGCAGCCCUGGAAAACGGGUCUCAUCCCCUCCACCCACUGUGUCUUGUGCGUGUUGGGACAUCAGAUCUAGAGCAGACAAGAAAGCUGCCUGACACCACCCUCCUCAAUUAGGACCCCCCAGUAAGAACCAAGAUUGCCUGGGUCUUCUGUCCACCCUGGGCACUGGGCUAAUGGGGAUGAGAGGUGGUGCAAAGCUGGGGGGAAUCUCUCCCCAUGCAGCAUCAGGUCUUGGGGUGUAGGAGAAUAAACAAGACCCCUCCAUACACUCAAGUGGACCCCCAAAGACAAGACCACCUGGUUCUCCUGCCCCAUUUGGGCGUUGAUAGAAUGAUGAGAACAGGAAGAUUGGGUACAAGGCUGGAGGCAAUCUCACCCCAUGUGGCAUCAGGUCUUGGGGUGAAGGGGGACAGAUAAAACCCCUCUGUCUGCCCAACUAAACCCCCGGAGCCAGGAUCACCUAGGUCUCCUGCCCUGCUUGGGGGUGAGGAGGAUGAGUACAAGGCUGGGGGGAAUCUCUACCCAUGUGGCAUCAGAUUGGGCUGAGGGUGGACAAGACCCUUCCAUCCACCUAACUGGACUCCCAAAACCAAGACCACAUGGUCUAGCACCCACUAGAGGAUCUGCAUAGAAGCUCAUAGCCUUGUAUCACACCAGAUAUGAGAGUAGGGGGGUGGCCAAUUUUGGGAGGUGGGCUCUGAUACGGUGAGAAGGGAAGCC
This is an RNA transcript of Alligator mississippiensis (American alligator), 2965 nucleotides long. It is a transcript of the gene named NFKB inhibitor like 1, with no coding region annotated. NCBI's taxonomy places the organism in Eukaryota, Metazoa, Chordata, Crocodylia, Alligatoridae. The record is from RefSeq and is a predicted model, not a curated record. The transcript has 6 exons.